Molecule: ribosomal RNA, 460 nt
Filed under: uncultured bacterium
Lineage: Bacteria
Description: partial 16S ribosomal RNA
Rfam family: Bacterial small subunit ribosomal RNA
Source: RNAcentral
CCUACGGGAGGCAGCAGUGAGGAAUAUUGGUCAAUGGACGAGAGUCUGAACCAGCCAAGUAGCGUGAAGGAUGAAUGCCCUAUGGGUUGUAAACUUCUUUUAUAAAGGAAUAAAACGAGGCACGUGUGCCUUUUUGCAUGUACUUUAUGAAUAAGGAUCGGCUAACUCCGUGCCAGCAGCCGCGGUAAUACGGAGGAUCCGAGCGUUAUCCGGAUUUAUUGGGUUUAAAGGGAGCGUAGAUGGGUUGUUAAGUCAGUUGUGAAAGUUUGCGGCUCAACCGUAAAAGUGCAAUUGAUACUGGCAGUCGUGAGUACAGUUGAGGUAGGCGGAAUUCGUGGUGUAGCGGUGAAAUGCUUAGAUAUCACGAAGAACCCCGAUUGCGAAGGCAGCUUACUAACCUGUGACUGACAUUGAUGCUCGAAAGUGUGGGUAUCAAACAGGAUUAGAUACCCGAGUAGUC